CUGGAGGACUCUGGAGGUGCUGUUAGGGGCCACGUCAAUGUCAGAAGGGACUCCUCAGAACCAUAGGUGUGUAUAUUUACCACAUCGUCUCUGCCCAUUCUUCUGUCGAUGGACAUCUGGGCUCUAUACAGUUUCGCUGUUGUUGACAAUGCUGCUACCAACACUGGGCUGCGUGUUCCUCUUCGAAUCUACUCAACUACUUUUGUAUCCUCAGGACUGUUGUGCCCAAGAUUGCGAAUAUGAGAAACCACCGAGAAGUCGACACGAAUGCAAACACACGAGGGUUAGUUUACAAGAUCGAGCUUGUGUCCAAGUAUACCCGACACAGCAGAGUAGGGACU
Canis lupus familiaris (dog) is the source of this 341-nucleotide long non-coding RNA. RefSeq lists it as uncharacterized. Lineage: Eukaryota; Metazoa; Chordata; Mammalia; Carnivora; Canidae. The transcript is spliced from 3 exons. The record is from RefSeq and is a predicted model, not a curated record.